AACGAACGCUGGCGGCAGGCUUAACACAUGCAAGUCGAACGAGAUCUUCGGAUCUAGUGGCAGACGGGUGAGGAACACGUGGGAACAUCCCUUUCCGUUCGGAAUAACGUUGGGAAACUAACCCUAAUACCGGAUACGUCCGUCGGGAGAAAGAUUUAGCUCUGAAAGAUUGGCCCGCGCCUGAUUAGCCAGUUGGUGAGCUAAUGGCUCACCAAGGCUACGAUCAGGAGCUGAUCUGAGAGGAUGAUCAGCCACAAGGAGACUGAUACACUGCCCAACCGCCUACGGGAGUCAGCAGUGGGGAGUAUUGGACAAUGUGCGCAAGCUUGAUCCAGCCAUGCCGCGUGAGUGAUGACGGCCUUCGGGUUGUAAAGCUCUUUUGUCCGGGAAGAUAAUGACUGUACCGGAAGAAUAAGCCCCGGCAAACUUCGUGCCAGCCGCCGCGGUAA
Molecule: ribosomal RNA, 449 nt
Filed under: uncultured bacterium
Lineage: Bacteria
Description: partial 16S ribosomal RNA
Rfam family: Bacterial small subunit ribosomal RNA
Source: RNAcentral